Molecule: transfer RNA, 65 nt
Filed under: Hemiarthrum setulosum
Lineage: Eukaryota; Metazoa; Mollusca; Polyplacophora; Chitonida; Hemiarthridae
Description: tRNA-Gly
Source: RNAcentral
AUUUUUUUAGUAUAUAAAGUACCUUUGCCUUCCAAGCAAAAAGUUUAAUUUUCUUAAAAAAAAUA